AAUUACCAAUUAAACGUUCAAUUGUUUUAACCCACAAUAUUUUAACUUUUAAAAACAGGUUCCCCCGAUACCUGGAUCGUAACCCUAUUUCCAUAUAUUUUAACGUCUGUAAAUAUUUUAAAGGCGAUUCCAGUUAAAUUGUAAAAUAUAAAAAAAAAAUUUACCUGGGUGGAUUAAAAUUGAAAAUUUUUAUAAUACCAUUCCCAUUUAACGUAUAUGGCAGUUUAAUAAUAUAUAUCCAAUGGGCAUUUUUGCGUUAUAUAAUUUCGGUUUUCCUCGUUUUAUUUACCUUACCUAUUAAUAAGGCGCCAUUAUCGACGAAAAUUUGCAAAAUCUUUUGGUGGCCUCCUAAUAAAACGAUUUGGAAAGCGUUACCGUACCGGCCGCCCUAAAUAUUAACGUCGGCAUUUUUAUCAACCAAAAUUUGCACAAUCUUUUUGUGGCCUUUAAAUAAAACGGCUUGGAAAACGUUGCCGUAUUUGCCGCCCUGAAUAUUAACGUCCGCACCGUUAUUUAACAUUUUUUCCACAACGCAAAAUACGUUUCCCCCAGCCAUAUAAUAAAAUAAAGGAGUUAUAACCUUUUCAAAACUAUUAAAAUCUUUUUUAUCCCAUAAUUUGUCGGGACUGUAAAAGCCAAAACAAAUUUAAUAACAUUUUUCAUUUUAAACGAAUUCCCAAACAAAAUUUUCAAAUUCCUUGGCAUCUGGUCCAAUAUAACCAGCGUGGCCCAUCCAAUAUUGUGCAACGUAUUAUAUUAGGGGCUAAUUUUGUAAUUCCACCGUUGUAAGGUCGUGGUUAAGGUCCAGCAAAUAUACCAGGCAGACCUUCGCCAUAUAUUACCUAGCAAACCCCUUUUGAAAUUAUAGCGACAUUUUGCUUUCCAAUUGAUCCGAUAUAAGGUAUUUUUUUAUUAAGAAAUGCGCAAACUGUAAUUUUCUCUUUUUAUUUCCCCUUUUACCGUUUUUGGUAACGUUUUGGGCGCCGUUCGAAAAUUAAUAAAAUUAGGACAUUUUUCCAAAAAAUCGAGUUGGUACAAAACCCAUCGAAAUUUGCAUUCCAAUUUAGCAAUAGGUUUUUGGAAUAUUAGGUAAAGGUUUAUCCUUACAUUUUAUUGGCCUUUUAUAUUAAAUAAUUUUUAAUUUUUUGCUAAAUAUUUUUUCGCCUUUAUUAUCGUUUUAAUUUUUCGUAAUAUUUUACCCUUUUAUAAAUAUACGCGCAUAUAUUAUCGGCGACCAAUUCGUUUUAUAUAGGUAUUUGGUGGUCCACGAAUUUAUCCAAAAUUAAUUCGAUAUUUCGUUUUGGACAAUUCGUAAAUAAAACGUAAAUAUUUGCUCGUAAAACCGUUAAAAAGUCCUUAAUUUAAAACAGCAACCCUUUGUUUUUUAUACCUUUUUUUAUUUGGCAUUUGUCGAAUGCGUUUAAUAUAAUCCAAAUUUCGCUAAUGUGCUAAAUUAUUUUUUCCAAGGUUUCGUUUAACAAAUUAACGGUGGGUAUUCGCGACCCAUUUUCGUAAAAGAAGUAGAGCGAAUAUAAAUACCCCUGGUAAACGCUCGGGUUUUUCUGGUACAACUGGUAUAUAAACGACCGAAUCGCAUUUUCGAAUAAUUGUUUGCUGGUAUCGUUAAAAUUAAAAUAAAAAUAAAUAAAAUUGUCGGAAUAAAACCUGGUAUGGCGCAAAUUGUCGAUAAUGGUCCAAUUGAAAAUUAUUUUACCACAACCGGGGAUAUUAUAAAAUUAUAAAAAGAUUUUUGGCGUUGUUUUCCAUUGCAAAUAUUUUUCGCUUUUUAGGAACCACUGGUUUGUAUUUCCAUAACGUUAUUCCAAAGUUUUUUUGUCGUUUGUCGAUAUAUUUGGCGGGGCGAAUUAUUUAAUAAUUUCCUGAAAAUGCUAAUUUUGGUGCAAUUUAUUU
RNAcentral lists this small RNA (1911 nucleotides) under Pyricularia oryzae. RNAcentral describes it as "Magnaporthe oryzae sRNA M_BR32_EuGene_00147441". Lineage: Eukaryota; Fungi; Ascomycota; Sordariomycetes; Magnaporthales; Pyriculariaceae. The record is from RNAcentral.